UUAAAAAAGAAACAAAUAUAAAUUUACAUACAAAAUAUAUAGUUGUGCAAGCAGAGUUUGAUUUUUGAGCUAAUUAACAUAUGUUACAUUACGUUACAUCAAUCCACGUUACGUCUCCUCGUGUCUACAUGCUGGCGAAGAAAAAAUAAAACCAAAAGGAAAAUACUUAGUAGCAUAGCACAUAACCUAAGCUAUUACUGACUCAUAUUUCAUAUUAAACAUACAGACAAAAUUGGAAAAAUAAUAUGUGAAGGAAGCACACUUAUUAAAAUACGUGAAUCAGCUCCUGCUAAGAGAUUGAUAUCGCUAAUAAAGGAUUCAAUUGCAUAAAGUAGGAGUCCAAAUUUGUAUUACCUCAGAUCCCUAUCAACUGGAUUGUAACUGAUCUAGCUGGUAACCAGAUAU
Long non-coding RNA from Cephus cinctus (wheat stem sawfly), 405 nucleotides. RefSeq lists it as uncharacterized. The record is from RefSeq and is a predicted model, not a curated record. Lineage: Eukaryota; Metazoa; Arthropoda; Insecta; Hymenoptera; Cephidae. The transcript has 3 exons.